Molecule: non-coding RNA, 763 nt
Organism: Prunus avium (sweet cherry)
Lineage: Eukaryota; Viridiplantae; Streptophyta; Magnoliopsida; Rosales; Rosaceae
Source: RefSeq, a predicted model, not a curated record
CACAUAUAUAAUAGUAACUUAUUCCAUUUUCAAGACGUGGUCCAUGCUCUCAUGGAAACACACGUUCAAAACAUCUAGUCCCUAUUGCUAGUUGAACAUAAGAACUCUACAGAGAGUAGAAGACUUUCUUUUGAGCUUUCAUCAAUGGCAGAUGGGUCUCGAUCUCGAUAUGAAGUUGGAAAAAGAAGCAACGAGACUUUCAACAUUAAUAAUAAUGAUAUCUCCGCAAUUAGAAGCAAAAAGGUUGGGAUUCGCAAGGCUUUCAACAAAGAAGGCAGAGGUGGUGAUCAGGCAAGGACGGCUAGAAACCUCAACAUUUCUGGCAAUAAAAUUCGUGGAGAAGACAGCGAUAGCGUUGGGAUUAGCAACGUUGGCAACACGAACUACAACAAGUCGAGCGUACCAUUUCUUCUUGGUCUUCUUAUUCUUCUUGUUCUAGCUUUAUUUUUUUUCUCUUUUUAUAUAUUAACGGUGAGUAAGCAAAACAAAAAAUGAAGCAAGCGGCUUGAGUGAAAAAGAAGGCAUGACCGAGAAGAAAAAGAAGAAGACAAAAAUCAGUAAGUGAGAAAGAAAGGUUCGGCUUGGAUUUUCCUGUACUAUUACGUAGCGGAAGGGUUUGGAGAUGUAUGGCCACCAUAGCUCCUAUACUCAAACUUUUCUUUGCGUUACUUUCUCUGAAUCUGAAUCUUAUUUCUCUUAUAUAUAUAUUUAUGUAUUUAUUCUUCUUCUACAUGCCAUAAGUAUAUUGAUACAUGCUGAGUAA